Molecule: long non-coding RNA, 448 nt
Organism: Merops nubicus (carmine bee-eater)
Lineage: Eukaryota; Metazoa; Chordata; Aves; Coraciiformes; Meropidae
Exons: 4
Source: RefSeq, a predicted model, not a curated record
GAAAAGGGGAAAAAAGGAGAAAAAGGUGAUGUGGGUGACCCUGGUUUAUCUGGAGAACCUGGCAAAACUGGACCAAAGGGAGAGCAAGGCUUUACUUACUAGAGAAGAUAUAAUUAAAUUAAGGAGAUAUGUGGUUGCACUAUUAAAUGUAAGGAAAUUCCUCUGGAGCUCGUAUUUGUGAUUGACAGCUCUGAGAGUGUGGGACCAGAAAAUUUUGAGAUUAUCAAGGACUUUGUAACUGCUUUAGUAGACAAAGUAAUUGUAGGCAGAAAUGAUACCAGAAUUGGCCUUGUGUUAUACAGUUUAGAAGUUCAGCUCGAAUUUGGUCUCAAUAUGCAUACAACUCAACAGGACGUUAAGCAAGCAAUCAGAAAAACGCGAUACAUGGGAGAAGGCACUCACAUAGGAACUGCUAUCCGUAAAGGAACCCAGGAAGGUUUUUCUGGUG